Molecule: signal recognition particle RNA, 301 nt
Filed under: Microcebus murinus (gray mouse lemur)
Lineage: Eukaryota; Metazoa; Chordata; Mammalia; Primates; Cheirogaleidae
Description: Metazoan signal recognition particle RNA (ENSMICG00000037449.2)
Rfam family: Metazoan signal recognition particle RNA
About the family: The signal recognition particle (SRP) is a universally conserved ribonucleoprotein. It is involved in the co-translational targeting of proteins to membranes.
Source: RNAcentral
GCCAAUGGGCCAGUAUGGUGGUGUCUGUAGUCCCAGCUACUCGGGAGGCUGAGGUGGGAAGAUUGCUGGAGCCCAGGAGUUCUGGACUGUAGUCCACUAUGCCAAUCGAGUGUUUGCACUAAGUUCAGGAUCUAUAUGGUAACCUCCUGGAAGUAGGGGACCACCAGGUUGCCUAAGGAUGGGAGAACCGGCCCAGGUCAGAAACAGAGCAGGUCAAAACUCCCAUGCUAACUGUAGUGGAAUCACAUGUGUCAAUAGCCACUGCACUCCAGCCUGGGCAACACAGUGAAACCCUGUCUCU